AGAACGAACGCUGGCGGCAGGCUUAACACAUGCAAGUCGAACGCCCCGCAAGGGGAGUGGCAGACGGGUGAGUAACACGUGGGAACGUGCCCAAAGGUACGGAACAACUCCGGGAAACUGGAGCUAAUACCGUAUGUGCCCGAAAGGGGAAGAUUUAUCGCCUUUGGAUCGGCCCGCGUCUGAUUAGCUAGUUGGCGGGUAAUGGCCCACAAGGCGACGAUCAGUAGCUGGUCUGAGAGGAUGACCAGCCACACUGGGACUGAGACACGGCCCAGACUCCGUACGGGAGCAGCAGUGGGGAAUAUUAGGACAAUGGGCGCGAAGCCUAGGAUCCAGCCAUGCCGCGUGAGUGAUGAA
Molecule: ribosomal RNA, 357 nt
Filed under: uncultured soil bacterium
Lineage: Bacteria
Description: bacterial SSU rRNA
Rfam family: Bacterial small subunit ribosomal RNA
Source: RNAcentral